RNAcentral lists this ribosomal RNA (736 nucleotides) under uncultured bacterium. RNAcentral describes it as "bacterial SSU rRNA". It matches the Rfam family "Bacterial small subunit ribosomal RNA", at positions 757 to 1504 of the family's 1533-position model. The record is from RNAcentral.
AAGCAUGGGUAGCGAAGAGGAAUAGAUACCCUCGUAGUCCAUGCCGUAAACGAUGUGCGUUAGACGUUGGAAAUUUAUUUUCAGUGUCGCAGGGAAACCGAUAAACACACCGCCUGGGGAGUACGACCGCAAGGUUAAAACUCAAAUGAAUUGACGGGGACCCGCACAAGUAGUGGAGCAUGUGGUUUAAUUCGAAGAUACGCGCAGAACCUUACCAACACUUGACAUGUUCGUCGCGACUCUAAGAGAUUAGAGUUUUCGGUUCGGCCGGACGAAACACAGGUGCUGCAUGGCUGUCGUCAGCUCGUGUCGUGAGAUGUUGGGUUAAGUCCCGCAACGAGCGCAACCCUCACUUUUAGUUGCCAUCAUUAAGUUGGGCACUCUGAAAGAACUGCCAGUGAUAAGCUGGAGGAAGGUGGGGAUGACGUCAAGUCCUCAUGGCCCUUACGUGUUGGGCUACACACGUGCUACAAUGGUAUCUACAACAGGAAGCAAGACUGCGAAGUUAAGCAAAUCCCUAAAAGAUACCUCAGUUCGGAUUGCACUCUGCAACUCGAGUGCAUGAAGCUGGAAUUACUAGUAAUCGUGGAUCAGCGUGCCACGGUGAAUGCGUUCCCGGGUCUUGUACACACCGCCCGUCACACCAUGGGAGUUGGUUCUACCUUAAGGCAAGGUUUCAAACCCUUGACCACGGUAUAGUCAGCGACUGGGGUGAAGUCGUAACAAGGUAGCCGUA